GUAGGGCUGUUGAAUACACUGUUGGAUGGAGGUGGGGCUCCAUCCUCUGUGCUGCUGCCAUGUGCCUCUCCCCUCACCCACAUGGGGGCUUGGCCCUAAGUAGGACCCUGGGCUUGAAGGGCCCCCAACUAGUAGUGUUAGUGACUAUCAUUCACAAAUAGCCAAUAGCUAUUGAGUGCCUAUCAUGGGCCAGACACUGUCCUAGGCAGUGGGAACACAGCUGUGAACAGACAGACAAGAACCCUACUCUUAGUGAGUUUAUAUUUUAAGAAGAAGAGGCAGACAAGCAAAGAAAAUUCUAAAUAAACUAGAUCAUCUCAGAUAAUGAUGAGUGCUAUAAAGGCAACAAAACAGUAAUACAAUAGAGAGUACAGAUGGGGAGUGCCUUUGGUUGGGUGGUCAGAGAAAGACUUUCAGAAGAGGUAACAUUUGAUUCUAGAUCUUCCUGGUGAAAAGGAGCCCUGCCAAGAUUAGGAGAAGAGCAUCCCAACAAAGACAACAGGCCUGAGCCAGGCAGAGGCCAGAUGUUACAGGAAUGGAAAGACCAGCAUGGCUGGAGUGCAAAAAACACUAGGGGAGGUGGAGGGAGGUGGCAUGAGAAGAACCUGUAGAAAUGGAAAACAGCCAGACCAGGUAGAGGCCCUUGAAGCACGGCAAAGAGUUUAGAGUUUAUUCCCUGUAAAAAGGGAAACUCUUAGAAGUUUCUAAAGUUCUAACUAGAGACAGUCAUGCUAUGAUUCUAGAAAGCCACCAUGUAGAGAAUGGUUGGAUUAUAGGAAAGCAAGAGGAGAAAGAAGCAAGAAGACCAAUUCAAAGGCUGUCGAGGUAGUCCAGUGAGAGACCAUGAUGGUUUGGAUGUGGAUAUUAACGACGGAGAUGACAAUAAGUGGAAAAUACAAGGCUAUAGUUUGGGUGGAGUCAACAGAACCUGCCGAUGGACAGAUGUAGGGAGCAAGAGAGAGAAAGGAGUCAGAGUUGACUCCUCCGUUUCUGGUCUGAGAAAUUGCAUGAAUGGUGGAGCUGUUUACUUAGACAGGGAAGAUGGUGGGGACAGGUACAGCCGAUUUGGGCAACAGCAAGAAGAAAAUCAAGUGUUUUAUUUUGGAUAUCUUAAGUUUGAGGUGCUUACUAGACAUCCUGGUGGUCUGUCAAGUAGGCACCUGGACAAGACAUGCGCACAGGGAAGAGUCAGAGCUAAAGGAAAGGCCACGUGAGGCAAGAACGUGGCCAUCUACAACCCAAGGAGAGAAUCCUCAUCAGACACCAACCCUGUCGGCACCUUGAUCUUGGACUUCGCAGCCUCCAGAACUGUGAGAAACAACUCCCUGUUGUUUAAGUCACUCAGUCCCUGGUAUUUUGUUACGAGAGCCAGAGCUGACUAAGACAGAGACCAAAGCCUCCGGGGCACCAGUAGCUCCCACUGGGGAAAAUAUUACUGAUCGCUUUAAUAAUUAGCCCAGCCUGGAGCACUGUCUCCCAAGAGCUAAGAUGGUUCUCCAGGAAAAGGAGCAAGUUAGGCCUCCUAAGUGGGGAUCCUGGUAUGGUAGCAGAUGGGAUAUUUCCUUUUAAAGCUGAAUUGGGGGUGGGGGGUAAGAAGAAAACCAUAAAGAUCUGUUAUUACUAAUGUUGCCAUCAGUGACUUAGCCCCAGGAGGUGACCUGUCACAGGGUGGAGGACAAAGGCAAUGUUGCAGUGAUGCAGAGGUUAAAAAAAAAAAAAAAAAGGAAGGAGCAGGCCAGUCCA
This 1743-nucleotide long non-coding RNA is filed under the name Equus caballus (horse). RNAcentral describes it as "lncRNA (ENSECAG00000058247.1)". The record is from RNAcentral. Lineage: Eukaryota; Metazoa; Chordata; Mammalia; Perissodactyla; Equidae.